GGUAACGGGGGACGGGGGAUUAGGGUUCGAUUCCGGAAAGGGAGCCUGAAAAACGGCUACCACUUCCAAGGAAGGCAGCAGGCGCGCAAAUUACCCAAUCCUGACCCAGGGAGGUAGGGACAAUAAAUAACAAUACCGGGUUUUUCAAGUCUGGUAAUUGGAAUGAGUACAAUCUAAAUCCCUUAACGAGGAUCAAUUGGAGGGCAAGUCUGGUGCCCGCAGCCCCGGUAAUUCCAGCUCCAAUAGCGUAUAUUUAAGUUGUUGCAGUUAAAAAGCUCGUAGUUGGAUUUCGGAUGGGGCCCGCCGGUCCGCCCAUUCGGGGUGCACCGGCGGCGCCCAUCUUGCUGCCGGGGACGGGCUCCUGGGCUUAAUUGUCCGGGACCCGGAGUCGGCGAGGUUACUUUGAGUAAAUUAGAGUGUUCAAAGCAGGCCUACCCUCUGAAUACAUUAGCAUGGAAUAACC
Molecule: ribosomal RNA, 463 nt
Filed under: Diplosphaera sp. L540
Lineage: Eukaryota; Viridiplantae; Chlorophyta; Trebouxiophyceae; Prasiolales; Stichococcaceae
Description: SSU rRNA
Rfam family: Eukaryotic small subunit ribosomal RNA
Source: RNAcentral